AAAAUGACUCUCGGCAACGGAUAUCUCGGCUCUUGCAUCGAUGAAGAACGUAGCGAAAUGCGAUACUUGGUGUGAAUUGCAGAAUCCCGUGAACCAUCGAGUCUUUGAACGCAAGUUGCGCCUGAAGCCAUUAGGCUGAGGGCACG
This 146-nucleotide ribosomal RNA is filed under the name Darlingtonia californica. RNAcentral describes it as "5.8S ribosomal RNA". It matches the Rfam family "5.8S ribosomal RNA". Rfam says of the family: 5.8S ribosomal RNA (5.8S rRNA) is a component of the large subunit of the eukaryotic ribosome. It is transcribed by RNA polymerase I as part of the 45S precursor that also contains 18S and 28S rRNA. Lineage: Eukaryota; Viridiplantae; Streptophyta; Magnoliopsida; Ericales; Sarraceniaceae. The record is from RNAcentral.